CCUACGGGUGGCAGCAGUGAGGAAUAUUGGUCAAUGGCCGGAAGGCUGAACCAGCCAAGCCGCGUGAAGGACGAAGGUCCCACGCGUUGUAAACUUCUUUUGUCAGGGAACAAAAUCAGGCUCGAGAGCCUGACCGAGGGUACUUUAAGAAAAAGCAUCGGCUAACUCCGUGCCAGCAGCCGCGGUAAUACGGAGGAUGCGGGCGUUAUCCGGAUUUAUUGGGUUUAAAGGGUGCGUAGGCGGAUUGUUAAGUCAGCGGUAAAAGCCCGGGGCUCAACCCCGGCGAGCCGUUGAAACUGGCUGUCUUGAGAUGGCGAGAGGUAGGCGGAAUGCGUAGUGUAGCGGUGAAAUGCUUAGAUAUGGCGCAGAACGCCGAUUGCGAAGGCAGCAUACCGGCGGUGAGCUGACGCUGAGGCACGAAAGCGUGGGUAUCGAACAGGAUUAGAUACCCUAGUAGUC
RNAcentral lists this ribosomal RNA (459 nucleotides) under uncultured bacterium. RNAcentral's name for it is "partial 16S ribosomal RNA". It matches the Rfam family "Bacterial small subunit ribosomal RNA", at positions 338 to 795 of the family's 1533-position model. The record is from RNAcentral.